RNAcentral lists this transfer RNA (73 nucleotides) under Ailuropoda melanoleuca (giant panda). It matches the Rfam family "tRNA". Rfam says of the family: Transfer RNA (tRNA) molecules are approximately 80 nucleotides in length. Lineage: Eukaryota; Metazoa; Chordata; Mammalia; Carnivora; Ursidae. The record is from Rfam by way of RNAcentral.
GCCUGGCUGGCUCAGUUGGUAGAGCGUGUGACUCUUGAUCCUGGGAUUGUGAGUUCAAGCCCCACGUUGGGUA